AUAAAGUUUUAUUCUUGCUAGAAUACUCAUUUUAUAGUUAUACCAUAUAUAAGUUCUGUAUAUUAAUUGUUUAUAUAACAUUAUUGUAGUGGUAAAUAUUAUUAGUCAGCUGAAGCUGGAAAUAGUAAUCUAUUCAUCUCCGGUAAAAGAUCGUGCCAGCCACCGCGGUUAUACGUGAGGGGAAAAUGAGUAUUAUUGGGUUAACAGUUAAAUUACAUUAUUCUUUGAAAGUAAAUUUUUUAGGUGAAAUUUUAAAUUUAUUUUAAUAGACCUAUUUGAAACUGUGAAAUUUAUUUUAAAAACAAGGAUUAGAUACCCUUUUAUUUUAAAUGUGAAUAUUAACCUGGGUAGUAAUAGUUAUGUUCUUGAAACCCAAAGAAUUUGGCGGUAUUUUAUUCUUUUUAGAGGAACCUGUCCUGUAAUUGAUAGUCCACGAUAGGUAAAUACUUGUUUUUGUAUUCAUUUUGUAUACCUCCGUCAUCAGAGUAUCUUUUUAGAGAAAAUAUUCAGGUAAUACUAAAUAUAAUAUGUCAGGUCAAGGUGCAAUUUAUGAACAAGAAGAGAUGGGUUACAAUAAAAUUAUUUAUACGAAUUAGUAAUCUUAUAGAUUAUUAUGAAGGAGGAUUUAAAAGUAAAAUUAAUACUUUAUUAUUUUGAUUUUGGCUCUAAAAUAUGCACACAUCGCCCGUCGCUCUUAUUUUAAAAUAAGAUAAGUCGUAACAUAGUAGGUGUACUGGAAGGUGUACCUAGAAAGUA
Molecule: non-coding RNA, 756 nt
Filed under: Orthetrum sabina
Lineage: Eukaryota; Metazoa; Arthropoda; Insecta; Odonata; Libellulidae
Source: RNAcentral